Molecule: long non-coding RNA, 2427 nt
Organism: Junco hyemalis (dark-eyed junco)
Lineage: Eukaryota; Metazoa; Chordata; Aves; Passeriformes; Passerellidae
Source: Ensembl
CCCCCCCACUGAUGGCUGGUGUCUUGCAGGGCAGUGGAAGGGGAGAUUUACCGCCUGGGGCUGCGCCUGGAGGGGCUGAGAGAGCGGCUGGAGCCGGGGGGCAGGCGGCAGUCCCUCCCUCAGCCCCCCCUGCAGCCCCACUGUCCCCAAGCCCCAUCCCCACCACCGGCUGACCAUUCCCCACGCCCCGAGGUGAGCUGGGGGUGCAAAGGUUCCCCACCCCUCUGCAUUUAUGGGGGGUUGCCCCUCUUACUCCCUUGUGCCCACAGAUCCCUGCGCUGGUGGAGGAACCUCGGGGGACAGCAGGGGCCAGCGAGGGGGUGUCAGGGGGGCUGCCCUGGCCCCUCUGGCACAAGCAGCGCCAAGUGGAGGAGGAUUUUGGGGAGCUGCUGGAGCAGUACAAGCACUUCAAGUCCUUGCCGGAGUCGCUGAGCCUGGAGCAGCUGAGCCUGGUGGGGAGCCAGUCUCAGGAGGAGGUGGAUGCACCCACGGCAGGGGAUGGUGGCCCCAGCAAGGUCCCCUGCAGGACACGGUCACUCGAGGAGGAGCCCAACCUCGAGCCCUUGGCACUGCACCUCCCACAGAGAAGAGCUGCGACUCUUCCCCCCAGAGGACCCGCAAACCUGGAGGAGACACUGGGCCACCCCUCCCCUGCCCCUGCUGAGGAGCCACCAGCCUCUGCCAAGCCCCCCCUGGGGGUCCCUGGGCCACCACGGGUGUCCCUGUCCCUCGGUGGGACAGGCAGUGGUGCCACCCAGCCUGGGCCCCACAAGGUGAGUCUCUGGGGCUGCAGAUCCUCACCUGAGAGCCCCCCCAGAGCCCCCCAGCUGGGCACCCACCCUGCUGUCCCUGUCCCUCUGCAGGAGCAGCGCAUCGUGUCCCCAGAGACCGACAGUGGCUUCGUGGGCUCGGAGGCCAGCAGGGUGUCACCCCCCGUGCACACCCCUGAGCAACAUCGCCCAGGGGCUCCGGGCUCGCUGGGACCCUCCGUCCCCAUCCCCAGCAGCCUCCGUACCCCACGGGAGAGAGAGACGACCCCGCUUCCCUCCGAGACAGCACUGAUGGGCAUCUACCCCCCGAGGGGCACAGGGGAGCCCCCCAGCAGCCCCUCUGAGAGCAGCUCCCCCCCUCGCUGGGCUGAGGGCAGCGAGGUGGGACCCGACCCCGACGGUGACGGCACUCACACGGACUCGGAGGUGGGAGACAGGAGCUGUGCCAGCGCUGGUGGCCGCCCCCCAGCCAUGGCCAGGAGCCCCACCAGCCCCCUGCCCUCGCCCCAAACUCCAUCCCCCACCCUCCUGUCCCCCGACCUGCCGUCCGUGGACCCGGCUCACUGUGACCUGCUGGGCUUCCGUCUGGAGCGCGACCAGGCCAUCCGGGCGCUGCAGGACGAGGUGUGGCGGCUGCGGCGGAGGCUGGAGGAGAGCCUGUGCCACUCCCGCAGCUACCCCGAGGGAAAAGCCACUCCCCGUGUCACCCCGGGCAGGAGGCAGCCGCUGGCCAGCGCACCAUCGGCCCCGCAGGACGCGGCACCCUCGGGGUAGGUGACAGGGGGGACCCGGGGGGUGUGGGGGCAGCGUGGGGACACCCCCGGCCUGAGGCUGUCCCCAUCUCUGCUGUGACCAGGGAGGGGUGUGGCUUGAAGGGACUGGUGGGUGGAGGUGGUAACGGUGGAGGUGGUGACAGCAUUUCUGUCCCCUGUGCAGGCAGCCGAGCCCCCCGGUGCGGGGCAGGGCGGCCCCCGGGGUCACACCCAUGCGGAGGGGCAGGUCGGCAUCGCUGCCACGGGACAAGCCCGAGCUGGACCUCGGUAAGGGUGAUGGGGACAGAGGGGACAUGUCCUCCCUGCGUGCCACUUGCCCUCCCCAGGAUGUUGUGGGGCUGCAGCACCGUGGGGACCAGGUCCUGGUGGUCCCACAGACCCCACAGUGCUCAGCCCAGGGUGGGUCCUGCAGGUCUGGAGCUGGGUCCCGGCGGAUGCCACCCCCCUUCCCUGUCCUCUGCCACAGCCUCCGAGUCAGAGCCCGGGCCCCGGGCACCCCCAGCCCUGCGGAAGCACCUUGGGAAGCCCCCGGGGGCGGUGACAUUCCGGGGACAGCACGCAGGUGGGUGCUGGUCGGUGGUGGGGCUGAAGGUGGCCGUCCCCACCCUGGGGACCCUGGCCAUGCUCACGCUGGGGUUUGGCAGGGACACGGUACCAGGCGGGGACACCACGUGCCACCCCGGCACCCCGAGAAGAGCCGGGCACCUCGGGGUGUCCCCGAUGUCACAGGGGCAGGAUGGUAUCAGGUGAGUGGCCCACAGCCCCUUCCAGCCUUUCCUACCACCCCAAACAGCUGCUAAUGACCUUCAUUAAUUAACUGGAGAAGCUUAGGGAGGGGACAAACCCAUUCCUCAUGGCCUGAGGCUCUCCUCACUGUCCCUUGG